Stegastes partitus (bicolor damselfish) is the source of this 1241-nucleotide long non-coding RNA. RefSeq lists it as uncharacterized. The transcript has 3 exons. The record is from RefSeq and is a predicted model, not a curated record. Lineage: Eukaryota; Metazoa; Chordata; Actinopteri; Pomacentridae.
UUACAGCGCAGCUGGUGCAUCACCAGAGGGUUCUCCAUGGCCCCAGGAGUCUUGGUCUCGUUGGGGAUGAUGCAGCGCACAAAGUGAGGAUAUCAAGAAGCUUUGAAGGACGGUGCUUUGUGAGAUCAAGGUCAGUUUCUUCGGUGCCAGACAGGUGUCAAGCUGGUAUCCUGCCUUCCCCUCACUUCUUCUAACAGCUAGUGCAAGAAGGUGUGAUUCAGUCCUUUGACCUGCUGCAGAUGCACACGAGUUACUUUGGAGACAAAGGGGACUACAGCACAGGAGAUCCCAAAGGUCUUAGGUGGCCGUCUGUGAGUUUCACUCCUCAUCUAGCCCUUUCUGUGAUGAAGAAUAACAAGAGAGUAGACAAUGAGAGACGGAUUAGUGACAACGGACCAACAAGACUCAACAAGUGUAACACAAAAGGGUACACUAGAACUAAAUAAUGUUAUGAAAUGUGCUGCAAAUUACUCAUAAUGUUGUUUUUUUUUACAGGUUCUUUUGCUGUGGCAUGUUGGCUUCGACACAGUUAUGUCAAAAUGAAAGUUAAUGUUGAAUUAGUGGAAUUGGACAAAUCUAAACAAUGUAGGACUAAAUGUGAAAAGCUGUUUUAUAAAUCACAUAAAAGGCACUGAAAACUGGUCCCAAGUCUGAAUUGUGGGGACAACAUUUUCUUUAGGACAUUUAUCUUUUAAAAUAGAAGAUUUUAAAAAAUGUGUAAGUACACCAACACAGGCUCCGUAUUAGCAUGCCCCCCUUAAUGCAUGAAAGUUAAUACAGUUGGACCAGUCAACAUGCAAGAACAUAUAUUAACACAAAUUAAUCAAUCAAUCAAGCCUUUACUUGGCAUCUCUAUAUUUAACUAUGUAUAUAAUUUAGGUAAAAUGAACUUAAUUGUUUAACGCUGUCUUAACUCCCAAACUAUCACUCAGAUGUAGUUAUUUUGGUAAACAAGAUGAAUCAAUGGACAACCAGCUAACUGUGAGCUGUCCCUGGUUUAAAUCUUUUUCCGCACAUUGCUCCCCUCAAAUCUUAACUGUCAAUUCACUAAUAACUUCAUAAAAUGUCAUAAAAAAAUACCUAAACACUAAAAAUAUUAACAUUUUGCAGUUAUAGCCAUUAUUUAAAUCGUAAGAGACCUGUCAUGUGACAAAAACUGCAUGACCACUAACCUGCUAAAUUGCACUAAUACAACUUACGCAGUUCAUAAAAGCGCAAAAUAAACUAUAUCUUCACAAAGA